This 534-nucleotide ribosomal RNA is filed under the name uncultured archaeon. RNAcentral describes it as "bacterial SSU rRNA". It matches the Rfam family "Archaeal small subunit ribosomal RNA", at positions 465 to 997 of the family's 1478-position model. The record is from RNAcentral.
CCGCGGGAACACCGGCGGCCCGAGUGGUGAUCGUGAUUAUUGGGUCUAAAGGGUCCGUAGCCGGUUUGGUCAGUCCUCCGGGAAAUCUGAUAGCUCAACUAUUAGGCUUUCGGGGGAUACUGCCAGACUUGGAACCGGGAGAGGUAAGAGGUACUACAGGGGUAGGAGUGAAAUCUUGUAAUCCCUGUGGGACCACCUGUGGCGAAGGCGUCUUACCAGAACGGGUUCGACGGUGAGGGACGAAAGCUGGGGGCACGAACCGGAUUAGAUACCCGGGUAGUCCCAGCCGUAAACGAUGCUCGCUAGGUGUCAGGCAUGGCGCGACCGUGUCUGGUGCCGCAGGGAAGCCGUGAAGCGAGCCACCUGGGAAGUACGGCCGCAAGGCUGAAACUUAAAGGAAUUGGCGGGGGAGCACAACAACGGGUGGAGCCCUGCGGUUUAAUUGGACUCAACGCCGGACAACUCACCGGGGGCGACAGCAAUAUGUAGGCCAAGCUGAAGACUUUGCCUGAAUCGCUGAGAAGAGGUGCAUGG